RNAcentral lists this long non-coding RNA (969 nucleotides) under Marmota monax (woodchuck). The record is from RNAcentral. Lineage: Eukaryota; Metazoa; Chordata; Mammalia; Rodentia; Sciuridae.
GGCUAGGGAAGGUAGACUAAACCCUGCCUCUACUUUGUGAGGGGCAAUUCAGGGGGUCUCUUUCAAAAAUUGCAGAAAAAAUCUGAGCAAAUUUUAACUUAGAAGAAACAUCUCCUAAAGGAGAUGUUUGCUGUAUUUGACCACAUGCCAAUUAGGAACUUUUUUUGAAUAAGAGACAGAGGAAGGUUAAGACUCAAAUGACAAAUAAAGAGAAAUAUUUGCUACAUAUAUAAGAGGGGAUCAAUGUCUAGAAAAUAGAAAGAACUUUAAAAAUUAAAAAUUAAAAAAAGAUAAACCAAUAAAAACUGGGCUAAGGGUUUGAUUAGGAAAUUCACAAUAGAAAUAAAAAGGAUUUAAGGUCACAAAGAUGACCUCCUUGCUGGUCAUCAGGGAAAUAAAAGUCUAAAAAAUGAAUUGAGGCUGGGUACUCAAAAAAAAGUUUGUUCAACUCAUAGUUCUGGAGGUUUAAGGGUAUGGUGCCAGCAUGAGCUCCGCUACCUCAUGGUCAACUGCACAACAAGGGAGUUUGUGCAGGAGGAAGUAAUCACAGUGCCAGACAGGAAGUCAAAGAAAGGGGAGGGGCCCGGGCUUGCUCCUUUUUUAAUCAACUCUCUCACAACCCUCUCAUGAGAACUAACUCAGGAAUCCCAGAAGAACUAUUAUAAUUCCUUCCAAAUGCAGAACUCAAAGAUCUAAAGACCUCCCACCAGGCCCCACCUCUUAAAGGUCCACACCAUCUCCUAAUAUCAUCACACUAGGGACCAAGCCCCCUGGGGGAUAAACCACAUCCAAACCAUUGUAAUAUUCAAGUUGAUAAGAGUUGAUGGCCUGGUGAGUUGCUGUAGCCCCCUGACAGAUCCUAUCAGAAUUUAAAAUACACUUUGUAUAUAACCCAGCAAUUGACCUCAUGGUAUCCACCCCAAAGAAACACCUUCAAAUGAGCAUGAAGAGGAAAGCACAAAGAUGUUU